This 1603-nucleotide long non-coding RNA is filed under the name Capsella grandiflora. RNAcentral describes it as "long non-coding RNA (CGRA_LNC000933)". The record is from RNAcentral. Lineage: Eukaryota; Viridiplantae; Streptophyta; Magnoliopsida; Brassicales; Brassicaceae.
GAUCUCCAUCGAUCCUCUGUUUUCUUCAGUCAUUAGAGACUAGGAGAAUUAUUUAUAAGAGGAUUUUAUAUAUAUUAAAGAGAGGAACAGAGGUAUUAGCACUUAGCAGGUUCGUAAUAGUUGUCUUUAGUGUUAUCAAAAUAGUUGAAUUUUUGAUGAUUAUGAAAUCAGCAGGGUUUGUUUUUGUAUUAUGUGUAGCAAAAUUCAGACACGACCACGGACUGAGUCACCUCAUCCCUCAGGAUACUUACAUAUAACAGGUAUAUUUCAACUUUUCAAACUUUUAUUUUAAAAAAUUAAAAUUAAGAACAAUUGAUUUUGAUAUAAAAAUAUACAUUAAAAAAAAGAUUUUAUGUUUUUCAUUUCUAUUUUCCUGAUUUACAACUAAAUAUUAAGGUUUUUAAAAGCAAACUUCAAGUAAAAGUAGUUUUGAUUUUUAAUAAAUCAAAAUGAUCAUUUUUUUGGGGUUAAAUCUAUGUGUUAAUUUUAAUACGUUGAAAACAAACUGGGCCGAGCAUCCAGUCCCUUUGUGGUCCGUUAGUGGUGUAUAAGUUCAACAUGUUAUCACGUAUUGUAAAAAAUUUAACGCUUAGGUUUUAAGGUUUUUUAUAAUUUAAGUAAAGUUAUAAAUUUGAUUUUUAACAACAACAUACAAGAUGUUUUUAUUUUUUAAAAAUGUAAGUGUUAAAUUUAAAUGAAAACAAACCGGACCUAGCAUCGAACUCUCUUUAUGGUCCAUACUGAUUUGUGUUAUUCAAUGGGAGUUGUCGAUGUUUUCCAAGCUACAUACUUAUAUAAUUAUUUAUUGGCGCCGGAUAUUUUAAGUUUACAGAAUAUUUCCAUUAUUUCCAUAUUUAAAGUCCAACUUAACUUCUUUUAUUUGAUCAUCUUCAAUAAUUAGCAAAGGUAAUAAUUAUAAGAAAAAAAGUUAUUCCAAAUUUACCAAAAUCAAGAAUAAAACAAAUAAACUUAAAAUAUAUAACUGAUUUAAAAGAUGAAGUAAGGUUAGACAAUGCUAUAGAAAUUUUGUAUCUAGCUUUCUAAAUAAGCACAAAGAGGAAAGAAAAAUUAUAUGAUGAUGAAUAACACGAAGCACAAAGAUUAGUAUUCAAAUAACAUUUUGUAAACAUGUUACAAUUUUGUAGAUAUAAUUUAUAACUAUAGUUUUCCCGUCCAAUUAAAGUAUCACUUUUUAUAUCGAUCGUUUUCAAACUAACUGUUAGGAAUAUUCACUCAUUCUGUUAGUAAAUACGUUGAAGUUUCUCUACAUAUAUCUUGUUCAUAUUUACCAAAGAGAAACAUAGAUGAGUCAUAGACUAUAUAAAGACAUCAACAUGAUAUAUUUAGAGAUACCACUAUACCAUAAGUGAUACGUAGCGUAAGUAGGCUUAGUUUUAAUUGGUAGAACAUGUUAUAGCAUACAUCACAUGAAUGUCUUGACUCUAUCAUCAUAUCUUUGGCCAAGACUGAAAUGGCCAUCGGAAGAUUUUUAAAGUCUUAUGUGUUAGUUGUUGGCAGGCGAGGGAAAAAGAAAACUCAAGGAGUUAUCGUAUAGAUUUUUACCUCUGCAAAUGGAGUUAUCUUGAAAACGUUUAAAAGAUUU